GGAUUAGAUACCCUGGUAGUCCACGCCGUAAACGAUGCACACUAGAUCGGAGUAGGUCUGACCCUUUUCCGGUCGAAGCGAAAGCGUUAAGUGUGCCGCCUGGGGAGUACGGUCGCAAGGCUAAAACUCAAAGGAAUUGACGGGGGCUCACACAAGCGGUGGAGCAUGUUGCUUAAUUCGAGGCAACGCGAAGAACCUUACCUGGGUUUGACAUGCACGGAUUAACUCUGUGAAAGCAGAGCCACGCCCGCAAGGGUGGAACGUGCACAGGUGCUGCAUGGCUGUCGUCAGCUCGUGCUG
RNAcentral lists this ribosomal RNA (300 nucleotides) under uncultured bacterium. RNAcentral describes it as "bacterial SSU rRNA". It matches the Rfam family "Bacterial small subunit ribosomal RNA", at positions 775 to 1067 of the family's 1533-position model. The record is from RNAcentral.